Long non-coding RNA from Salvia splendens (bonfire salvia), 1253 nucleotides. RefSeq lists it as uncharacterized. The record is from RefSeq and is a predicted model, not a curated record. Lineage: Eukaryota; Viridiplantae; Streptophyta; Magnoliopsida; Lamiales; Lamiaceae. The transcript has 2 exons.
UCUUCUAAUUCAUCUUCACACCAUUCACGUCAAUUUCCUUGUCAUUCUCAACCCAAAAUCACGCAAGAUAUUGCAAAUCACCCAACCAAUCUCGAUUUUGAUUCUCGAUUCUGCAAUAUCUAACUCCAAAUUACACACGACAUGUUCAAUCCAGUUUGAAUUCAUCUCAAUUCGAGCUAUCAAUCACACGAUCAGUUCAAUUAAUUUCAAUUUGAUUACUCAAUAAUUGCAAGCGAUUUCUCUGCAUUCACACCACUCGUGCAAUCGCUUUUUGUGCUCUCUGCAAUUCACUCCACAAAUUCGUUCGAAUAUGGGUGAAUCGAUUAGCAACUUUAAUUUGGAUGUUUUUCCAGAAUGUGAGCUUUGUCAGAUUAUCAAUUGUCCAUCGAUUUUUCAUGCGUUGUUGCGAUGUGGAUUAUUUAGAUUCAGUGAUGGAUUAUUUGCCGAUUUUGUCAAAUUGAAGAGUAGUUUGUGAUUUUGAUUGACGAGAAGUUUUUGUUGAUCCAAUUGUAUUUGCAUGUGUGCCAGCAUGCCCCGGCAAACUCUGGCCAUAUGUUGGUAAGAAAGUCCUUACAUUAGAUGAGGGCUUUGGCUUUUAUGAAGGUUAGCCGAUGUUGUUCGUGGACCAGCUCGAAGUUUGGGAGAAACUGAAAUUCCAUCAGAUCCAAAGCAGCUCUCAAAGAAUAAAAUUGCUGACAUUUUUUUCAGUUACAUGAAAAAAUCUAAUGGUGAUAGUGCGAUCAUUGAUUCUUUUUCAGCUGGAAUGGAUGAGCUUGGGAAGAGUCUUUUGACAAGAAUCCAUGAACUAUCUUUGACAGACAAGGGUAACACAGUUGAAGAUUUCUAUUUUAUUGAAAAGGUGGUUGUGGUUGAAUUACAUCCACCAUCAGUUGUGUCGACCAAAGGUUCGGCAAGUGAUCCUAAAAGUCGUUUGGUGUCCGCGAAGGAGAAGGCUAUAAAGUUGAACAGCAAACCAUUGAGUCAGUGUAAAAAAUGUGGAGAAUUAGGUCACCAUGACUCUUGGAACUGUGGCCGACAAAAGGGAAAAUAAAAUUGUUAGUUCAUUUUUUCAUUACCAGAUUGCAGUCUUAUACAUUGUAUAUUGCAGUAUUAGUAUCGCCAUAUUGCAGUCUUAUACUUUGUAUAUUACAGUAUUAGUAUCGUCAUAUUGCAGUCUUAAUGUAACGAUUGCAGACCACACUAUUUGUUUCAAUCUAUUAUUUCCAGAAGGAUUAAUUAUUAAUUUUAUACUA